Molecule: small nuclear RNA, 103 nt
Filed under: Octodon degus (degu)
Lineage: Eukaryota; Metazoa; Chordata; Mammalia; Rodentia; Octodontidae
Source: RNAcentral
AUUAUCACCACUCAGCACAAACACUAAAAUUGGAAUAAUACAGAGAUUAGCAUGGCCCCCAUGCAAGGAUGACACAGAAAUUCAUGGAGUGAUCUGUACUUUU